GAAUCUUCCGCAAUGCGCGCAAGCGUGACGGAGCGACGCCGCGUGGGUGAUGAAGGCCUUCGGGUUGUAAAACCCUGUCAGUUGCUAGGAAUCGCAGGUGGUGAAUAGCCACCUGCCUGACCAUGCAGCAAAGGAAGCACCGGCUAAAUACGUGCCAGCCACCGCGGUAAUACGUAUGGUGCAAACGUUGUUCGGAAUCACUGGGCCUAAAGAGCGCGUAGGCGGUCGAGUAAGUCGGACGUGAAAUCCCCCGGCUCAACCGGGGAACUGCGUCUGAUACUGCUCAGCUAGAGUGCAGGAGGGGAGAGUGGAAUUCCUGGUGGAGCGGUGAAAUGCGUAGAUAUCAGGAGGAACGCCGGUGGCGAAAGCGACUCUCUGGCCUGCCACUGACGCUGAGGCGCGAAAGCUAGGGGAGCAAACGGG
This 423-nucleotide ribosomal RNA is filed under the name uncultured bacterium. RNAcentral's name for it is "bacterial SSU rRNA". It matches the Rfam family "Bacterial small subunit ribosomal RNA", at positions 359 to 776 of the family's 1533-position model. The record is from RNAcentral.